CCUACGGGAGGCAGCAGUAGGGAAUCUUUCACAAUGGGCGAAAGCCUGAUGGAGCAACGCCGCGUGCAGGAUGAAGGCCUUCGGGUUGUAAACUGCUUUUAUAAGCGAGAAAUAUGAUGGUAACUUAUGAAUCAGGAUCGGCUAACUACGUGCCAGCAGCCGCGGUCAUACGUAGGAUCCGAGCAUUAUCCGGAGUGACUGGGUGUAAAGAGUUGCGUAGGUGGCAUAAUAAGUAGCUAGUGAAAUCUGGUGGCUCAACCAUUCAGACUAUUAGCUAAACUGUUAAGCUCGAGACCGUUAGGGGUAACUAGAAUUUCUAGUGUAGGAGUGAAAUCCGUAGAUAUUAGAAGGAACACCAAUAGCGUAGGCAGGUUGCUGGGACGGUUCUGACACUAAGGCACGAAAGCGUAGGGAGCAAACGGGAUUAGAUACCCCUGUAGUC
Molecule: ribosomal RNA, 442 nt
Filed under: uncultured bacterium
Lineage: Bacteria
Description: partial 16S ribosomal RNA
Rfam family: Bacterial small subunit ribosomal RNA
Source: RNAcentral